GGGUUGUGAGGUUAAGCGACUAAGCGUACACGGUGGAUGCCCUGGCAGUCAGAGGCGAUGAAGGGCGUGCUAAUCUGCGAUAAGCGCCGGUAAGGUGAUAUGAACCGUUAUAACCGGCGAUACCCGAAUGGGGAAACCCAGUGUGACUCGUCACACUAUCAUUAACUGAAUCCAUAGGUUAAUGAGGCGAACCGGGGGAACUGAAACAUCUAAGUACCCCGAGGAAAAGAAAUCAACCGAGAUUCCCCCAGUAGCGGCGAGCGAACGGGGAGGAGCCCAGAGCCUGAAUCAGCAUGUGUGUUAGUGGAAGCGUCUGGAAAGGCGCGCGAUACAGGGUGACAGCCCCGUACACAAAAGCGCAUGUGCUGUGAGCUCGAUGAGUAGGGCGGGACACGUGGUAUCCUGUCUGAAUAUGGGGGGACCAUCCUCCAAGGCUAAAUACUCCUGACUGACCGAUAGUGAACCAGUACCGUGAGGGAAAGGCGAAAAGAACCCCGGCGAGGGGAGUGAAAAAGAACCUGAAACCGUGUACGUACAAGCAGUGGGAGCACCCUUUGGGGUGUGACUGCGUACCUUUUGUAUAAUGGGUCAGCGACUUAUAUUCUGUAGCAAGGUUAACCGAAUAGGGGAGCCGGAGGGAAACCGAGUCUUAAUUGGGCGUUAAGUUGCAGGGUAUAGACCCGAAACCCGGUGAUCUAGCCAUGGGCAGGUUGAAGGUUGGGUAACACUAACUGGAGGACCGAACCGACUAAUGUUGAAAAAUUAGCGGAUGACCUGUGGCUGGGGGUGAAAGGCCAAUCAAACCGGGAGAUAGCUGGUUCUCCCCGAAAGCUAUUUAGGUAGCGCCUCGUGAAUUCAUCUCCGGGGGUAGAGCACUGUUUCGGCUAGGGGGCCAUCCCGGCUUACCAACCCGAUGCAAACUGCGAAUACCGGAGAAUGUUAUCACGGGAGACACACGGCGGGUGCUAACGUCCGUCGUGAAGAGGGAAACAACCCAGACCGCCAGCUAAGGUCCCAAAGUCAUGGUUAAGUGGGAAACGAUGUGGGAAGGCCCAGACAGCCAGGAUGUUGGCUUAGAAGCAGCCAUCAUUUAAAGAAAGCGUAAUAGCUCACUGGUCGAGUCGGCCUGCGCGGAAGAUGUAACGGGGCUAAACCAUGCACCGAAGCUGCGGCAGCGAACGUAUCACUUAAAGCGAUUCAGCGGGUUACGAUUGACGGAGCGAAGCGACGUCAAAGCGUAUACAAAGUCGAGUCGGUUUAAGGAUACGUUCGUUGGGUAGGGGAGCGUUCUGUAAGCCUGUGAAGGUGGCCUGUGAGGGUUGCUGGAGGUAUCAGAAGUGCGAAUGCUGACAUAAGUAACGAUAAAGCGGGUGAAAAGCCCGCUCGCCGGAAGACCAAGGGUUCCUGUCCAACGUUAAUCGGGGCAGGGUGAGUCGACCCCUAAGGCGAGGCCGAAAGGCGUAGUCGAUGGGAAACAGGUUAAUAUUCCUGUACUUGGUGUUACUGCGAAGGGGGGACGGAGAAGGCUAUGUUGGCCGGGCGACGGUUGUCCCGGUUUAAGCGUGUAGGUGUGUGUUCCAGGUAAAUCCGGUUCACUUUAACACUGAGGCGUGAUGACGAGGCACUACGGUGCUGAAGCAACAAAUGCCCUGCUUCCAGGAAAAGCCUCUAAGCAUCAGGUAACAUCAAAUCGUACCCCAAACCGACACAGGUGGUCAGGUAGAGAAUACCAAGGCGCUUGAGAGAACUCGGGUGAAGGAACUAGGCAAAAUGGUGCCGUAACUUCGGGAGAAGGCACGCUGACACGUAGGUGAAGUGAUUUACUCAUGGAGCUGAAGUCAGUCGAAGAUACCAGCUGGCUGCAACUGUUUAUUAAAAACACAGCACUGUGCAAACACGAAAGUGGACGUAUACGGUGUGACGCCUGCCCGGUGCCGGAAGGUUAAUUGAUGGGGUCAGCGCAAGCGAAGCUCCUGAUCGAAGCCCCGGUAAACGGCGGCCGUAACUAUAACGGUCCUAAGGUAGCGAAAUUCCUUGUCGGGUAAGUUCCGACCUGCACGAAUGGCGUAAUGAUGGCCAGGCUGUCUCCACCCGAGACUCAGUGAAAUUGAACUCGCUGUGAAGAUGCAGUGUACCCGCGGCAAGACGGAAAGACCCCGUGAACCUUUACUAUAGCUUGACACUGAACAUUGAGCCUUGAUGUGUAGGAUAGGUGGGAGGCUUUGAAGCGUGGACGCCAGUCUGCGUGGAGCCGACCUUGAAAUACCACCCUUUAAUGUUUGAUGUUCUAACGUGGACCCGUAAUCCGGGUUGCGGACAGUGUCUGGUGGGUAGUUUGACUGGGGCGGUCUCCUCCUAAAGAGUAACGGAGGAGCACGAAGGUUGGCUAAUCCUGGUCGGACAUCAGGAGGUUAGUGCAAUGGCAUAAGCCAGCUUGACUGCGAGCGUGACGGCGCGAGCAGGUGCGAAAGCAGGUCAUAGUGAUCCGGUGGUUCUGAAUGGAAGGGCCAUCGCUCAACGGAUAAAAGGUACUCCGGGGAUAACAGGCUGAUACCGCCCAAGAGUUCAUAUCGACGGCGGUGUUUGGCACCUCGAUGUCGGCUCAUCACAUCCUGGGGCUGAAGUAGGUCCCAAGGGUAUGGCUGUUCGCCAUUUAAAGUGGUACGCGAGCUGGGUUUAGAACGUCGUGAGACAGUUCGGUCCCUAUCUGCCGUGGGCGCUGGAGAACUGAGGGGGGCUGCUCCUAGUACGAGAGGACCGGAGUGGACGCAUCACUGGUGUUCGGGUUGUCAUGCCAAUGGCACUGCCCGGUAGCUAAAUGCGGAAGAGAUAAGUGCUGAAAGCAUCUAAGCACGAAACUUGCCCCGAGAUGAGUUCUCCCUGAGACUUAGAGUCUCCUGAAGGAACGUUGAAGACGACGACGUUGAUAGGCCGGGUGUGUAAGCGCAGCGAUGCGUUGAGCUAACCGGUACUAAUGAACCGUGAGGCUUAACCUUACAACGCCGAAG
This 3008-nucleotide ribosomal RNA is filed under the name Salmonella enterica subsp. enterica serovar Thompson. RNAcentral's name for it is "23S ribosomal RNA". It matches the Rfam family "Bacterial large subunit ribosomal RNA". Lineage: Bacteria; Pseudomonadati; Pseudomonadota; Gammaproteobacteria; Enterobacterales; Enterobacteriaceae. The record is from RNAcentral. RNAcentral also lists the same sequence under 1 other name.